RNAcentral lists this microRNA precursor (115 nucleotides) under Manihot esculenta (cassava). RNAcentral describes it as "precursor microRNA miR396e". Lineage: Eukaryota; Viridiplantae; Streptophyta; Magnoliopsida; Malpighiales; Euphorbiaceae. The record is from RNAcentral.
AUUCUUCCACAACUUGCUUGAACUGCAUCUCUACUACGAAACUUGCUUCUUUGUAUUUUUUUAUUAUUUAUUUUUCUUUUUUGCUUGCGGUUCAAUCAAACUGUGGGAAGGUACU